RNAcentral lists this ribosomal RNA (330 nucleotides) under uncultured eukaryote. RNAcentral describes it as "partial 18S ribosomal RNA". It matches the Rfam family "Eukaryotic small subunit ribosomal RNA", at positions 1470 to 1796 of the family's 1831-position model. The record is from RNAcentral.
CCCUUAGAUGUCCGGGGCUGCACGCGCGCUACACUGUAGAAAGCAGCGUGCUUUAAAACCUUUCCUGAAAAGGAUGGGUAACCCCAGCAAAAUUCUACGUGCUUGGGAUAGAGAUUUGCAAUUUUCUCUCUUGAACGAGGAAUUCCCAGUAAGUGCGAGUCAUCAGCUCGCGUUGAUUACGUCCCUGCCCUUUGUACACACCGCCCGUCGCUACUACCGAUUGGGAAAAUUUUAGAGAGUCUUGGACUGAUGAUUGUUCGGCUUCACGGCCUUACUUUCGUCGGGAAAGAAUUCGAUAAUAUUUUUCUAGAGGAAGUAAAAGUCGUAACA